RNAcentral lists this ribosomal RNA (429 nucleotides) under Bacillota bacterium. Its description in RNAcentral is "Firmicutes bacterium partial 16S ribosomal RNA". It matches the Rfam family "Bacterial small subunit ribosomal RNA", at positions 355 to 776 of the family's 1533-position model. The record is from RNAcentral. Lineage: Bacteria; Bacillati; Bacillota.
UAGGGAAUCUUCGGCAAUGGACGGAAGUCUGACCGAGCAACGCCGCGUGAGUGAAGAAGGUUUUCGGAUCGUAAAGCUCUGUUGUUAGAGAAGAACGGUGGUAGGAGUGGAAAAUCUACCACGUGACGGUAACUAACCAGAAAGGGACGGCUAACUACGUGCCAGCAGCCGCGGUAAUACGUAGGUCCCGAGCGUUGUCCGGAUUUAUUGGGCGUAAAGCGAGCGCAGGCGGUUCUUUAAGUCUGAAGUUAAAGGCAGUGGCUUAACCAUUAUACGCUUUGGAAACUGGAAGACUUGAAUGGAGAAAGGUGGAGUGGAAUUCCAGGGGUAGCGGGGAAAUGGGUGGAUAUAUGGAGGAAAACCGGGGGCGAAGGCGGCUCUCUGGUCUGUAACGGACGCUGAGGCUCAAAAGCGUGGGGAGAAAACAGG